This is a long non-coding RNA of Leucoraja erinaceus (little skate), 3553 nucleotides long. RefSeq lists it as uncharacterized. The transcript is spliced from 3 exons. The record is from RefSeq and is a predicted model, not a curated record. NCBI's taxonomy places the organism in Eukaryota, Metazoa, Chordata, Chondrichthyes, Rajiformes, Rajidae.
UAUCAUCAAGAUAUGCCAUGCCAAUAUGUUUUUGUCUUCUGAAUAUUGCCAGAGCUGGUUUUAGUAUCUUGGUGAAUAAUCUUGGGCUGAUGUGAAUCCAUUGGGUAACGCUUUAAACUGCCAUAGCUGCCCCAUUCAGGUAAAUUUCAGGUAUCUGCGAUGAUCCUUGUGAAUGGUACUAAAUAGUAAACAUCUUUAAGAUCAAUGCUUGCCAUGAAGUAUCCUUUGGAAAUUAGUUGUUUGGCAGUAACAACCAUUUCCAUUUUGAAAUGUAUAUACUUAACAAACAUAUUUAGUGAAGUUAAGUCAAUGAUGAUACGACAUCCACCAUCUUUUUUGGGUUUAGUGAAUAUAUUUGAUACGAAUUCCAAGGGUUCAUGUUUUCCCAUGAUACCCUUUGUAAUUAGUCUCACCAGUUCAGCUUGUCCCUCUCAUUUCUUUAACGGAGAGAGGAAAAUACCCUCUGGGAUGAAUGUUGAACUGGUGGCAAUUUUUCCAGUAUGAAUUGUAUUUGUAUUCACUAAUGCCAUUGAGUAUAUACUGAUCACUCGUGAUAGACUCUCGUGCUUCUUUAAACAGGUGUAAUCUCCCCCCUGUUAGUAUUAAGCCCCUAUUCUCUGUACGCUGGUAGGAACCAGACCCACCUACCUCCAUGGUUAUGGGUAUUCUUCUGUUUCCUGCCGGUCCAACGAGUCUUGCACGUUGUCUGAUGUGGCGGUGACAUUGGGGGGUGGCGCAUUUUCCAUGGGGUCCGCUCUGGGCCCUGGUCUAAAGAAGACUUCCGGUGAUAGAAUGCGGACCCCAAGCUUUACACCAGUCCCAUAUGGUAGAGAUCGACUGAUGGACGCGAUGGGGUGCUGCUGCUUAGGAAUUAUUGUUUUUGAUUUGCUCGUCCCGGGGCCUGCCCUCAUGAGACCGAAAGUUUUUUAAGGCCUCUUCCAUAUCCUUCAUAUGCUUUGUGAGGUUUUUGCCAAAGUGCAGUGGGUCUGGCUCAGUGGCUGGGGUAUGCACAACCCCGCAAAUUUAGGAUUUUACGGCAGGUCUUAUGAUUUGCUUACGAAGGUUGUGAUCAUCUCCGUAUUUGUCCACGGAACGAGCAAACGAUGUGAUGGCUGACGUCAAGAGCCUGAGGAUCUGCUGCAGUUUUAGCUCCUGUUUCCGAAUAUUUGCCCCAACGUGCCCCCACUUUUGGCUGUUUACAGCCGGCACUUUAAGGGACUCACAGUUCUCUGGAGCUGUAUACGUUUCUAAGGCCUCAUUAACCACCUCUCCUGUAGGGGCCUGUUGGAGAGGUGGUCAAUGCUGGCCGUUGGUUUGGCAUUUAACGGCCUCCUGCACGUGGGGUUGCCACAUAGCGGUCCAUCACACCUAGCAGCUCUUCCUGUUCCUGCACCCCUUGCACUCCCGAGAUCUUCAGCCAGGACUCUUCUUGACCAGCCCAGUCCUGGUCACCAAAGCUACCCUCAGAUAAGGAGGAAGCAAUGGGCAGUGCACAAGGCACUGUGAAGGGAGUGCCUGAACUCACGUGACUCCGAAGUAAAAUUACUUCAAGCCACAGCUCACUCUGCCAACUACACAUAGAAUCUGAUUACAUAAGAUCAAAGCAGAGCAUAUUGAAAAUCUUGGCUUUGGUCCAGCAUGGAUCCAAAUGGAUUUGGGAAACUGAAUUUGAAAUAACAAUGCUUCUAUCGUUGGAGACUACGAGCAUUAUCAGCAAUGUGUUAGGAGAGAAAUGAAGAAACCACUAUGCUGAGAAGCCCAAUACAAGAGGAUUAGACAAGAGGAUGUUCUUUCUUUUCCUGGAAACACUUUGGUAUCUGCCAAACCAAUUUAAUCAGCCAGUUUGUGGAGGUCAAUAAAUAUUUCAUACAAGUACAUAUUGCAGGGAAAUGCAGGAAUGGAUGAGGUUCAAAAUCUCAUGCAUGGCAUUUACACAUGCACACCUGGGGAAUCAUUUGUAGCAGAUAGAGAUACGAUUGGUAAUGAAAACUAUCAUUGGUGACAAGGUAAAUGUAGGGAAGGUAGUUAACAUAGAGGGAGAGGGGGAUUGGUAAACAAUGGGAGGUCAGAUUGGUAAACAGCUAGAUGAAAUGAGUAAUUAUGGAGCUGUAGGAAUGUUGAAUAGUGAAAGUAGUACAGAUGAUUGGAGAGGUAUUGGCGAUCAGGAGAUUUAGAUUUUAGACUUAGAGCACAGAAACAGGCCCUUUGGCCCACCGUGUUCCCACCGACCAGCAGUCACCUAGUACACUAACCUACACACUUUGCAACUUAUCGAAGCCAAUUAACCUACAAACCUGUAUGUCUUUGGAGUGUGGGAGUAAAGCGGAGCACCCAGAGAAAACCCACAUGGUCACAAAGGGCAUGUACAAACUCAGUACAGACAGAACCCGUAGUCAGGAUGUGGCUUUGGACUAACAAUCUCUAGGAUGAACAAUGGACCCUCAACGUAGAAUCAUAUAGUCAUACAGUGUGGAAACAGGCCCUUCAGCCCUACUUGCCCAUACCAGCCAACAUGUCACAGCUACGCUAGUCCCGUGUGUGUUUGGUUCAUAUCCCGCGGAACCUGUCCUAUCCAGGUACCUGUCUAAUUGUUUCUUAAAUGCUGGGAUAAUCUCUGCCUCAACUAGCAGUUUGUUCCAUACACCAUCCUCUGACAGUUUGUUCCAUACACCCACCAUGCUUUGUGUGAAAAAGUUACCCCUCAGAUUCCUAUUAAAUCUUUUCCCCUUCACCUUAAAGACAUGUCCUCUGGCCAUCGAUCCCCCUACCCUGGGCUAGGAGACUCUGUGCAUCUACCCAAUCUAUUCCGCUCAGUUUCUUUAAUCAGUCUCUGGAGUAGGAUAUGGAUUUACUUCAGAAUUUUGAAUCUGAAUUGUGGAGUUGAGCUUUGAAUGAAUGACCUGAAUUGGGUGCUGGACUGGGGCUGAAUUUACCUCCCACAUCAUGUUCUGCAGUGGAGCUUUGAACCAGCACUCUCCUGAAUCAGCAGAUGCAACUGUUCCACUCCUUAUAAACAUCUGAAAUUAACUUUGGUUAAUUAUUGUCAUGUGUACUGCAGUACAGUAAAAAAAUUCUGCUUUGUUUGCUAUCCAAGUAAGUCAUCUAUACACAAAUGCCACCAAACCAUAUACGAGCUAGCAGUGCUCCAACUGAUGAAUUUGUUUUAAUGCAGAAUGGUUACGUCUGGUCUAAACACAGCCAUAGGGAGAAUAAUCUUUUUUGUUCUCUUGUUCUCUACUUCUGUCUUUGUAGAGUAGAUAUCGUUGUGAAGACACUUGCAAAACUGCUUCACGUGGAGCACUGGGAUCUUUUACAGAACAAGCAAGCAGGGAGCUAUGGAAUGGGCACCAAGAUCCCUCUGCACAUCAGUUCUGUUAGGGUCAUGUUUCCAGUCGGGACCCUUCUGACUAAAUGGAGCUGCUGAAAGCUUACAUUUUCUCAGCGGGAGAUCAAAAAGAUUCAAAGCCACAUCAUGUGUGAAAUGACUGGCAGCUUUGGGACUGCUAAAUCCUAAAAGGAAAGCAUUUGUAGAAGCAAAACCACAGUUGAUAUU